GUCAAUAUUUUCACAUUGCACCAGCCUGAUGAGCGCAGGGCAAGCCUUCUCAGCUACAUAAGUUUUUUUCUCAUGUCCAAUAUCAAUUUCCACAAGGUACACAGCCAUUGCCACUUGUGUCUCUUCACUCCCUGCCAUAUAUCAUUCGGAAGUAAACUGAUAUUAAUCAACAUCAAUUCAUUGUUUAACAUUUCGCUCCAGGUUAUGCUUGUAUAGCAUCUAUGCUUCCCAAACUUUGGAGAGAGUAGCAAUAAUGAAUUACCUUCUGUUAGAUGUCCCAGAAGAGGUUCCAAUAGCCCACUCUCUGCCAUUUGCUUGAUGUUCUCAGGACACUUCUCUAGAUUUCUUAAGAUUUGAUCUGAUGUUUCAGACGCAAAGGCAUCCAACUCUCUGUUAUACUUUGCGGUGACUAACAUCAGUAUCGCCCCCGUAGCAGUCCCGAUCUUUUUACAUGCAUGUCGGGAUU
RNAcentral lists this long non-coding RNA (466 nucleotides) under Capsella grandiflora. Its description in RNAcentral is "long non-coding RNA (CGRA_LNC000110)". Lineage: Eukaryota; Viridiplantae; Streptophyta; Magnoliopsida; Brassicales; Brassicaceae. The record is from RNAcentral.